RNA transcript from Cajanus cajan (pigeon pea), 2981 nucleotides. It is a transcript of the gene named galactoside 2-alpha-L-fucosyltransferase, with no coding region annotated. The record is from RefSeq and is a predicted model, not a curated record. NCBI's taxonomy places the organism in Eukaryota, Viridiplantae, Streptophyta, Magnoliopsida, Fabales, Fabaceae.
UAUUACUAGAAUAAAAUAGUUGAUCCCAAAAACAAAAUGGCGCUGAAUCAGAUCACAGUUGUCGGAAAUCAUUUUACAAUUUCCCCCUUAUGGAUUACGACUUUCGACACAAAUAAUUGCAGGCAGUAGUGAAGGAAGCUGUUUUGGAGAAAACAAAUUGUUCGUCAAUUUCUGCUUUAUCGCUCGCAUUGUCAAAUUCGAUUCCGACACAAACGAAAUGAGCAAUUAUUUAAUUCAUAUCUGAAUCUGCAUGCUAUCGAGUCACGAUGGAUAAAGUAGUAGGGUGGAGUUUGAAGAGCUUCAGAACAUUAUUGGUUGUGGCUUCUGUAACCUUCCCUAUUUUAGUCACAUUUACUCUCAUACGCCAAAACUCAACUUUUGAUGUCGUCCAAGGAUUUAACGCCUUGACUGGAAGAACCCAGAAUACUACUACUAAUGUCGUAAAACAAGGGACACAAAAUGCUACUACUGCUGAUGUCUUAAAACAAGGGUCUCCAAAUGCUGGAGUUCAAGCUGGGAGACAAAAAGAUCAGAAUAUUAUUAUUAGAGAGUCAGCUGUAGACAAGAUUUUGGGAGACAAAAAUAAAAAUGCUACACCUGGGAUCUUAGAAGAACGAAAUCAGGCAAUAACAAUCUCAGACAUUGGUCUAAAGAAUCAUUCAUUUGAAGAUGGGAAGAAUGUUCCGUCCCCACCUACUACUACCAUUGCUAAUGACAAACUCCUUGACGGACUUCUAGUUUCCUCAUUUGAUGAAGCAUCGUGCUUAAGUAGAUACCAAACUUACUUAUACCGUAAAGCUUCUCCUCAUAAACCUUCUAAAUAUCUGAUAUCCAAGCUACGAGACUAUGAACAUCUUCAUCGAAGUUGUGGACCUUAUACCAAAUUCUACAAUAAAAUCAUGAGAAAGGGCGCAAAAUUUAGCAAAAAUGGUACCAGUACGAAGUGCAAGUAUCUUGUCUGGACAGCUUCCAAUGGCUUAGGGAAUAGGAUAGUAACCUUGGCUGCAGCAUUUCUUUAUGCUAUCCUUACAGACCGUGUUCUACUAGUCAAAUUCGGGGCAGAUAUGUUUGGUCUCUUUUGUGAGCCAUUUCCUGAUUCCUCAUGGUUAUUGCCCAGGAAUUUUCCUUAUUGGAAAGAUCAGAAACAUAUUGAAACGUAUGAAAGCAUGUUACAGAAUAGCAGGGAAAACAGUUCACAGGAGUUUUUGCCAUCAUUUCUUAUUCUUAAUCUACAGCACACCCAUGACGGUCACAAUAAUUUUUUUCAUUGCGAUCCAAGUCAAGAUCUUCUCCAGAAAAUUCCUGUGCUGAUUUUAUUGUCGGAUCAAUAUUUUGUCCCUUCUCUUUUUAUGAUUCCGUCAUUUAGACAAGAUCUAAGUAAAAUGUUCCCGGAGAAAGACACAGUUUUUCAUCAUUUGGGACGUUACCUUUUACACCCAUCAAAUGAGCCAUGGGAAAUAAUUAGAAAAUUCUAUGAGGCACACCUAGCCAAGGCAAAUGAGAGGAUUGGGCUGCAGAUUAGAGUAUUUAAUACUCAUCGAGCACCACAUCAAACCAUUAUCAAUGAAAUUAUGGCCUGCGCCCUUCAGCAUAAGUUGCUGCCUGAUUUUGACAUACAAAAGUCAACAACUUCUCCUUUGAAGAAGACCUCAAAAGCUGUUCUGGUAGCAUCUUUAUUCUCAGAAUAUGGUGAGAAGCUGAAGAAUAUGUAUCAGGAAAAUACAACUGUGACGAUGGAAGUAAUAAGAGUUUAUCAACCAAGUCAUGAAGAGCGUCAAAAGUCAAAUAAUGACAUGCACAACAUUAAGGCAUGGACUGAAAUAUAUUUGCUGAGUUUGUGUGAUGCAUUGAUUACAAGCCCCAAGUCUACUUUUGGGUAUGUUGCUCAUAGUCUUGGAGGUUUGAAGCCAUGGAUUUUGCAGAGGGCAUACGGGGAAACCAUCCCAAACCCACCUUGUCGACAAGCCAAGUCCAUGGAGCCUUGUUUCCAUUAUCCUCCCAAGUAUGACUGUAGGGUCAACAGCACAGUUGAUUUUACUUCACUUUUUCAUCAUAUGAAGCAUUGUGAAGAUGUAUCUAGUGGAUUGAGGCUGGUUAAUACUAAUCACUAGGUAAUGAACAAACUCAAUAUGAGAAUCGAGUCAUUGGCUUUGCCAACUAAUGUCAAUAAUUCCUGUUUGCUCUAAUAUUUAACUACAUUACUUUCUUCUUUGUUUGACAGCAUUUGAGGUUGUCAUGAACAAUAGAAACAUCCCUUGGUUUUGCAAUUUCCUCAUCUCACUUUUCACUAUUUCCAGUCACUCAGGGAUCCUCAUAUUUCUAAAUAUCUGGGUUAGAGGCUAAAGAUUUUAUUUUUUGCAAGGCAAAUUGAAUGCGGGCAUUUGUGUGCUCCCAUGUAUGUAAUUGUGGUGUUGUGGAUCACGUGACUGAAAUCCUCUUCUAGUGCCUGUGCUAAUAUAUUUUUUUAACCUUGGUGAUUUGUUUUAUAGGCCAUAGACAAAUUUCCAGUAAUACCAAAUGGACUGCAACUGAUUAGGAUACUGUUCUCCACCAUGUAAUCCUGCCCUACAAAAUGGUUAUCUGGAUUCGAACCCGUUCACAACAUUGAAGGUGGUUUGUGUUCAUGGGGACUACUGGUAAUGUUUGAAAGCUUUAAGAAUGAGUGGCAUUGGAGCAGGGAUCGUGUUGGUUCUCCAUUCUGAGAAAGGCCAUUGUAGAUAUAAUUCAACUUGGGAAGGAUGGUCUGUCAACAGAAACCCACACAAGAUAUAUGCAUCAUUCAGUAUCCUAUAUGCAUCAUUCAUUAGAUAUAAUUCUCAAGGCAUGUUAUGAUUAGUUUGGCUAAAUGGUUCUUGCCAAUAACUCCUUUUCACCCCUUGUUUUUACUGUUAUUUGUUCAUUAACUUACAUCAUUAAAUUGUGUAUUUAGAAAUUUUGUAAUAUUCAAACAAUCAAUUUUGUAAUAUUGUUAUAUAUCUAAA